GUGCCAGCAGCCGCGGUAAUACGAAGGGUGCUAGCGUUGUUCGGAAUUACUGGGCGUAAAGCGCGCGUAGGCUGUUUGUCAAGUCAGGGGUGAAAUCCUGGGGCUUAACCCCAGAAUUGCCUUUGAAACUGUCAAACUGGAGUGUCGGAGGGGAUAGCGGAAUUGCUAAUGUAGAGGUGAAAUUCGUAGAUAUUAGCAGGAACACCGGUGGCGAAGGCGGCUAUCUGGACGACAACUGACGCUGAGGAACGAAAGCUAGGGGAGCAAACAGGAUUAGAAACCCUAGUAGUCC
Molecule: ribosomal RNA, 292 nt
Filed under: uncultured bacterium
Lineage: Bacteria
Description: partial 16S ribosomal RNA
Rfam family: Bacterial small subunit ribosomal RNA
Source: RNAcentral